RNAcentral lists this ribosomal RNA (292 nucleotides) under uncultured bacterium. RNAcentral's name for it is "partial 16S ribosomal RNA". It matches the Rfam family "Bacterial small subunit ribosomal RNA", at positions 505 to 796 of the family's 1533-position model. The record is from RNAcentral.
GUGCCAGCCGCCGCGGUAAAACGUAGGUACCGAGCGUUAUCCGGAUUCACUGGGCGUAAAGCGCGUGCAGGUGGUUUUAUAAGUCGGGCAUGAAAUCUCUUGGCUCAACUGAGAGAAGCUGUCCGAUACUGUUGAACUUGAGGGUGUAAGAGGGAGGUGGAAUUCCGCAUGUAGUGGUGAAAUGCGUAGAUAUGCGGAGGAACACCAGUGGCGAAGGCGGCCUCCUGGUACACUCCUGACACUCAGACGCGAAAGCUAGGGGAGCGAACGGGAUUAGAAACCCCUGUAGUCC